GACGAACGCUGGCGGCGUGCUUAACACAUGCAAGUCGAACGGGAAGGCCCUGCUUUUGUGGGGUGCUCGAGUGGCGAACGGGUGAGUAACACGUGAGUAACCUGCCCUUGACUUUGGGAUAACUUCAGGAAACUGGGGCUAAUACCGGAUAGGAGCUCCUGCUGCAUGGUGGGGGUUGGAAAGUUUAGGCGGUUGGGGGUGGACACGCGGCUCAUCAGCAUGUUGGUGGGGUAGUGGCUUACCAAGGCUUUGCCCGGUAGCAGGGCUGGUAGGGUAACAUGCUCAGUUGGAACUGGAAUGCGGCCCAGCCUCCACCGGGAGGCAGCGGUGGAGAAUAGUAUAUAGGGCACGGAGGCCAGGUGCAGCCACGCCGCGUGGGGGAUGACGGCCAGCGGUUAGUGAUCCGCAUUCGCCUGUGACGAGGCGUGAGUGACGGUAAUGGGUGAAGAAGCUCCGGCUAACUACGUG
Molecule: ribosomal RNA, 468 nt
Filed under: uncultured bacterium
Lineage: Bacteria
Description: partial 16S ribosomal RNA
Rfam family: Bacterial small subunit ribosomal RNA
Source: RNAcentral